ACUGUUAAACGUGCACCACGCCAUCACGCAGUGCGCGUGCAUGUGAGCAGUGUUAAUAAAUCGAUUUAGCCUUCGUCCAGUUCUUUUCCUGGUGAAAAAAAUCGUUUUGCAGUAAUCACGAGAACGAGACGACGGGACGAUGUAAAUACCAACUCAAUGCACAAUUUCACUUGCGACAACCACGCAACGGUAUACCACGACUAAAGUAUAUUGUAUUUAUAUAUGUAUACAGUAUAGGUACACGCAUAUUUUAUGACUCUGACCUCCCGAGAAGGGGUUGGGCAGCACUAAAUUGACUUCGAACGGGUCACGGAAGAACAAGACACAUGCUCCACAAAUGGGGACUGCAGAGACUCUCGCCAGGAUGUGAUUGCGAACACGAAAAGCAAACUGCUACACACAUCACUGAUGAAUGCACUAUCUAACGAUACCAAGGAGGAAUGAAAGAACUACACAAAGCCAAAACAGACGUAGUGCAAUGGCUGAAUUCCUUGGACAUAAACAUUUAAUUGAAGAUAUAUGCAACACUCAUUCUAGUCACCUCAUUACCUAUAUAAUCUGUUAUCACUUAGUUAUAUUUUAUCUAUUAAUAUAUUUUACUACUUGUACCUAUUUUAUACUGUAUUACUUAUGUUAAACCGUGAAUG
Rhopalosiphum padi (bird cherry-oat aphid) is the source of this 647-nucleotide long non-coding RNA. RefSeq lists it as uncharacterized. NCBI's taxonomy places the organism in Eukaryota, Metazoa, Arthropoda, Insecta, Hemiptera, Aphididae. The transcript has 3 exons. The record is from RefSeq and is a predicted model, not a curated record.